CGCUAAACAGAACUCUGCUCUCUGUGCUUCCGGGUUCAUUUUGCAUUUGUGUUUCUCCAAACUCUGCGGCGUUCUUAAACUUGGGACAGUGUGGCUUGUGCUCAGCGCAGGACAUGGAGGAUCUUCUGUCAUUCACAGAUGUGGCCAUUGAUUUUUCUGCAGAUGAAUGUGAAUGUCUGGAGCCUGCUCAGUGGAAUUUGUAUAAGGAAGUGAUGCUGGAGAAUUACAGCAACCUUGUGUUCCUGGGUCUUGCUUUUUCUAAGCCAUACCUGGUCACAUUUCUGGAGCAAAGUUCAGAUCCAUGGAGCAUGAAGAGAAAAGCAUCAGCGGCCAUCCAUCUAGGAUUGAAACCCCAUAAAUGUAAAGAGUGUGGGAAAGCCUUUGAUAGAAACUCAGUCCUUAUUCAACAUCAAAGAAUUCAUACUGGAGAAAGACCCUACAAAUGUGAUGAAUGUGGCAAAUCUUUUAACUAUUCUUCCAGCCUUAAACAGCACCAAAGGAUUCAUACUGGGGAGAAACCCUACAGAUGUGAUGUGUGUGGCAAAGCUUUUAACUGUUCUUCAUAUCUGGGUAAGCAUCAAAGAAUCCAUACUGGAGAGAAACGCUACAGAUGUGAAGAAUGUGGCAAAGCUUUUACUAAUUGUUCAGGGCUUAUUGUUCACCGAAGAGUUCAUACUGGAGAGAAACCCUACAAAUGUGAAGAGUGUGGUAAGGCCUUUAGUGUUCGUACAACGCUCUCCAAACACCAGAGAAUUCAUACUGGAGAGAAACCUUACAAAUGUGAUGAAUGUGGAAAGACUUUCAAUGUACACUCCACACUUUCUAAACACCAGAGAAUUCACACUGGAGAGAAACCCUACAAAUGUGAAGAAUGUGGCAUGGCCUUUAAUGUUCGCUGCAUUCUUUCUAAGCACCAGCGAACCCAUACUGGAGAAAAACCCUACAAAUGUAAAGAAUGUGGCAAAGCCUUUAACUGUUCUUCCAGCCUUCACCAACACCAACAAAUUCAUAGGGGAGAGAAACUCUAUAAAUGUGAUGACUGUGGGCAGGCCUUUAGCUGUUCCUCAUAUCUGUAUAAGCAUCGUCGAAUCCAUACUGGCAUGAAACCCUACAAAUGCAAAGAAUGUGGCAAGGCCUUUUACUGUUCUGUAAACCUUAUUUACCACCAGAGAGUUCAUACUGGAGAGAAACCAUAUAAAUGUAAUGAGUGUGGGAAAGCCUUUAGCAUUUGCUCAACGUUUAUGAAACACCAGCGAAUACAUAGUGGAGAAAAGCCCUACAAAUGCAAAGAAUGUGAGAAAGCCUUUAAUAAUUGUUAUAAUCUAAUUCAACACCAAAGAAUUCAUACUGGAGAGAAACCCUACAAAUGUAAAGACUGUGGCAAAGCCUUUAAUUAUACUUCAAGUCUUGCUCAACACGAAAGAAUUCACACUGGAGAAAAACCUUACAAAUGUGAAGAAUGUGGCAAGGCUUUCAAUUCUUCUUCAAAUCUUAAACACCAUUGGAGACUCCAUACUGGUGAGAAGCCCUACAAAUGUGAACAAUGUGGGAAAGCCUUUAAAAAUUGUUCAGGCUUUACUCGACACUAUAGAAUUCAUACUAGAGAAAACCCAGAUUAGCACAACCCCUGUGACAAAGCCUCCUGUGAUCAUUUACUGAUAAUUCGACACUAAAGAAUUCAUAUAAAAGAGGAACCUUAUAAAUGAAAGGAACAACGAAAGACCUUUAAAAACAGCUCAGCCCUUGCUCAAUAUCCUCAUUACACAAUGGAGAGAUCUUGUAAUGUGAAAAAAAUGGAUGCAAUGAGCAAUUUAUACUCAUGUAACAUCAAAAUUUUCAUUUUUGAAAAACCCUACAAAUGCAAGUAAUAGGUGAAAUGCUCAUUUGCCAUGAGUGAAUUAUAAUCAGACUGUAUACAUGCAGAAUGACUUGGGAAGGAACACUGUCAAAUAUAUAAAACUGAGAAAACCAAACUCUUACAGUAAAAUGCAAUGUGUAGGUGAUGUUGCAAGACUUUACCCAUCACAUAGAUCUUAAGAGAUAUUCAGGAAUGAUCAUAAGAGACAAAUUCUAGGAGUUGUAUAGAAUUUAGCAAAGCAACAAAUACUGCUUAUAAUUAGUAGGGAAAUGUUUGAUAUAAUAUAACUCAUUACACUCUUUAAGAUCAUGCAGAUAAGUUUGUGAGGACAUCAAUGUGUUAUAAAUCCAAAUUGUAAGCUCAAUUUAGAAGAGUGAAAAGAUCACAACAACUAGUGAUUUUAUCAGAAGAUCAAGACUGAGUCCUGAGGUUUCAGAGUCUGUUUUUCCCCCCAAAGACCACAGAUACAUUAUUGGAAUAUGAAGUUUAGUAACUUUUGUAAAUAAAAAUAAGCUGUUCUUAAUGUAUUGUCAGUGUCAUGUUUAGUAUUGCAUUCUUUUUUUACUAAGUUUUACAUAGUUUUUAUUUUAUUUUAUUUUAUUUUACUGAGAUAGAAAAACUACCUUAGUGAGGCAUGAAGGCUAAUAUUGGCUGUCCAUCUGACACACCUAGGAAGGGGGCACCUCAGUUGCAUAAUUGUCAACCAGAUUGACCUGUGAGUGUGACUGUUACAUUUUCUUGAAUGCAGUUGCUAUAGAAGGGUUCAGUCCACUGUGGGGAACAGCAUCCCUAGGCUGUGGACCUGGGCUGUAUGAACCAGCAAGUAGCAUUCCUCCAGGAUCUUUUCUCAGGUUUCUGCCUUAAGUACCUGCCUUGGAUUCCUUCAGUAGUGGACUAUAAUGUAUAAGACAAAAUAGACCCUUUCUUCCCCAAGUAGUUUUUGGGUCAUGGGAUUUAUCAAAGCAAAGAAAGAAAUCAGAACAUAAAGGACCUAGGUAACAUUUUAAUUGUACACUACCAGGGAUAUAUGGGAUGUUUAGUCUGUUCCCAAUGUUGCUGUGCUAUGCCUAAUUUAUAACAUCUUUUAUGUUAUAUCAUUAUUUAUCCACUUAUAAUUACUUUUAUAUCAUAUAUUUUAUAGAAAUAAAGUGAUGCCCUUUUGACUCUUGUAUUUUA
Rattus norvegicus (Norway rat) is the source of this 3034-nucleotide non-coding RNA. Lineage: Eukaryota; Metazoa; Chordata; Mammalia; Rodentia; Muridae. The record is from RefSeq and is a predicted model, not a curated record.